UACGGGGGGAGCAAGCGUUGUUCGGAUUUACUGGGCGUAAAGGGCGCGUAGGCGGCGUGACAAGUCACUUGUGAAAUCUCCGGGCUUAACUCGGAGCGGUCAAGUGAUACUGUCGUGCUAGAGUACAGAAGGGGCAACUGGAAUUCUCGGUGUAGCGGUGAAAUGCGUAGAUAUCGAGAGGAACACCUGCGGCGAAGGCGGGUUGCUGGGCUGAUACUGACGCUGAGGCGCGAAAGCCAGGGGAGCGAACGGG
This 253-nucleotide ribosomal RNA is filed under the name uncultured bacterium. Its description in RNAcentral is "partial 16S ribosomal RNA". It matches the Rfam family "Bacterial small subunit ribosomal RNA", at positions 524 to 776 of the family's 1533-position model. The record is from RNAcentral.